Paramuricea clavata is the source of this 240-nucleotide non-coding RNA. The record is from the annotation of a GenBank genome assembly. NCBI's taxonomy places the organism in Eukaryota, Metazoa, Cnidaria, Anthozoa, Malacalcyonacea, Plexauridae.
CUGAAAUGCGCCUUAAAAACCAUCAGUCAAAAGGCUGAACUGUGCCUUUAAAGCCUCGGUCAAAGGAAAACGAGAAUUGAUGAGAGUUGGCAGUCACACAUUGUUAUACUGGGGACAUUUCAAGCUCUAGAUUAACAAAAUAAAGGUUUAAUGAGUGUUCCAACUAUGUUUUAACUUCAAUAGAUUACAUGAUAGUGUUGGGAAGCAUUAAGAACAGCUAAUCAAGUUGUGUACAACACU